UCCACGCUGUAAACGAUGAUCACUCGUUGUUUGCGAUAUAUUGUAAGCGACUGAGCGAAAGCAUUAAGUGAUCCACCUGGGGAGUACGUCGGCAACGAUGAAACUCAAAGGAAUUGACGGGGGCCCGCACAAGCGGAGGAACAUGUGGUUUAAUUCGAUGAUACGCGAGGAACCUUACCUGGGUUUAAAUGUAGGUUGCAUGGAUGGGAAACUAUCCUUCCCUUCGGGGCUACCUACAAGGUGCUGCAUGGUUGUCGUCAGCUCGUGCCGUGAGGUGUCGGGUUAAGUCCCAUAACGAGCGCAACCCCUAUCGUUAGUUGCC
RNAcentral lists this ribosomal RNA (322 nucleotides) under uncultured bacterium. RNAcentral describes it as "bacterial SSU rRNA". It matches the Rfam family "Bacterial small subunit ribosomal RNA", at positions 794 to 1119 of the family's 1533-position model. The record is from RNAcentral.